RNAcentral lists this ribosomal RNA (255 nucleotides) under uncultured bacterium. Its description in RNAcentral is "partial 16S ribosomal RNA". It matches the Rfam family "Bacterial small subunit ribosomal RNA", at positions 524 to 777 of the family's 1533-position model. The record is from RNAcentral.
UACAGAGGUCUCAAGCGUUGUUCGGAUUCAUUGGGUUUAAAGGGUGCGCAGGCGGGACAUUAAGUCAGGGGUGAAAGACGGUUGCUCAACAAUCGCAGUGCCUUUGAUACUGGUGUUCUUGGGUAACCUUGAGGUAGGCGGAAUGGGUGGUGUAGCGGUGAAAUGCAUAGAUACCACCCAGAACUCCGAUUGCGAAGGCAGCCUACUGGAGGUCAACCGACGCUCAGGCACGAAAGCGUGGGGAGUCAAACAGGA